GUGAACCUGCGGAAGGCUCAUUAUCGAAAAGCAAUCCGGGGAGAGGCGACCGAGAGAAGUUUGGUAGAUCGUAGGGAUUGUCGCUGGCCUUUGGACACGAAGGCAUGUGCACGUUCCGAGUUCUCCUUAGUCCUCCUUUGCCUUUCCUUNGGACAACCUUUCUUCACACCCGUGCACCCAUUGUAGGUCUCCGCGAGGGGAUCUAUGUCUUCAUAAAACUCUACGUAUGUCUAGGAAUGUAUCUAAAGCGUCGACCGGCUUGGCUCGAUGCCUGGUCGGCGACGGUAAAGAACGAAAUACAACUUUCAGCAACGGAUCUCUUGGCUCUCGCAUCGAUGAAGAACGCAGCGAAUUGCGAUAAGUAAUGUGAAUUGCAGAUUUUCAGUGAAUCAUCGAAUCUUUGAACGCACCUUGCGCUCCUUGGUAUUCCGAGGAGCAUGCCUGUUUGAGUGUCAUUUAAUUCUCAACCAUUCCUCGAUUUGUUUCGAGGUUUGGCUUGGAUUUUGGGAGCUGCCGGGCGACCCUACGGUCUUCGGCUCUCCUUAAAAGCAUUAGCGAUGGUGGAACGACCUAACUCCAUGCAUGAACGGCCUUCGACGUGAUAAUGAUCGUCGUGGCUGGAGUGCUAGCGGGCGUCNUGAAACCAGCGCUUCUAAAUCUCUCGUCGAAAGAGAAACUCGAAACUUGACUCAAUCAAGUAGGACUACCCGCUGAACUUAAGCAUAU
Molecule: ribosomal RNA, 726 nt
Filed under: Paxillus ammoniavirescens
Lineage: Eukaryota; Fungi; Basidiomycota; Agaricomycetes; Boletales; Paxillaceae
Description: eukaryotic LSU rRNA
Rfam family: 5.8S ribosomal RNA (bases 301-455)
Source: RNAcentral